UAUUAUAUACAUGUAGUUUAGUCAGGAUAUAUUGGAAGGAAGGCAGGUACAAUACCACACAAUACCAAAAAAUGGGCCACUGAAGUUGGCAAUAAGGGGAGGAAGGGACACACCACUUGGACCCAAAAUAAUAAUAUCAAGAAUAAUUGAAGGAGGAGCAGCUCAUAGCUAUGGUAAACUCAACGUUGGUGAUCAGGUGCUGGUAUGUGAUGGUGUCAGUCUUGUUGAUGUGUCACAUGAUGAAGCUGGAGAAGCUUUCAAAAGAGCAAUGGACUCACGCUCGGGAUCUAUUGACCUUGUUGUUGCUGUUAAUCCUGAGCCAUAGCCAAGAACUUUGCCUCUUCUAAAACUUUUAUGAAGCUGCUAUUAACACUGUCCUGUUUUUAUAGUUUUAAUAACAUGCUAUAAAACUAAUUUUUUUUGAAAAUAAAAAGCUAUAACUAGCUAUCAAAUCA
Long non-coding RNA from Amphimedon queenslandica, 455 nucleotides. RefSeq lists it as uncharacterized. The transcript has 4 exons. The record is from RefSeq and is a predicted model, not a curated record. NCBI's taxonomy places the organism in Eukaryota, Metazoa, Porifera, Demospongiae, Haplosclerida, Niphatidae.